Molecule: ribosomal RNA, 480 nt
Filed under: Streptomyces sp. B8(2006)
Lineage: Bacteria; Bacillati; Actinomycetota; Actinomycetes; Kitasatosporales; Streptomycetaceae
Description: bacterial SSU rRNA
Rfam family: Bacterial small subunit ribosomal RNA
Source: RNAcentral
GAACGAUGAAGCCCUUCGGGGUGGAUUAGUGGCGAACGGGUGAGUAACACGUGGGCAAUCUGCCCUUCACUCUGGGACAAGCCCUGGAAACGGGGUCUAAUACCGGAUAAUACUUUCUCCCUCCUGGGAGAAGGUUGAAAGCUCCGGCGGUGAAGGAUGAGCCCGCGGCCUAUCAGCUAGUUGGUGGGGUAAUGGCCUACCAAGGCGACGACGGGUAGCCGGCCUGAGAGGGCGACCGGCCACACUGGGACUGAGACACGGCCCAGACUCCUACGGGAGGCAGCAGUGGGGAAUAUUGCACAAUGGGCGAAAGCCUGAUGCAGCGACGCCGCGUGAGGGAUGACGGCCUUCGGGUUGUAAACCUCUUUCAGCAGGGAAGAAGCGAAAGUGACGGUACCUGCAGAAGAAGCGCCGGCUAACUACGUGCCACCAGCCGCGGUAAUACGUAGGGCGCAAGCGUUGUCCGGAAUUAUUGGGCGU